This 1038-nucleotide ribosomal RNA is filed under the name Aspergillus ochraceus. RNAcentral describes it as "SSU rRNA". It matches the Rfam family "Eukaryotic small subunit ribosomal RNA", at positions 73 to 1119 of the family's 1831-position model. Lineage: Eukaryota; Fungi; Ascomycota; Eurotiomycetes; Eurotiales; Aspergillaceae. The record is from RNAcentral.
CUUAUACUGUGAAACUGCGAAUGGCUCAUUAAAUCAGUUAUCGUUUAUUUGAUAGUACCUUACUACAUGGAUACCUGUGGUAAUUCUAGAGCUAAUACAUGCUGAAAACCCCAACUUCGGAAGGGGUGUAUUUAUUAGAUAAAAAACCAAUGCCCUUCGGGGCUCCUUGGUGAAUCAUAAUAACUUAACGAAUCGCAUGGCCUUGCGCCGGCGAUGGUUCAUUCAAAUUUCUGCCCUAUCAACUUUCGAUGGUAGGAUAGUGGCCUACCAUGGUGGCAACGGGUAACGGGGAAUUAGGGUUCGAUUCCGGAGAGGGAGCCUGAGAAACGGCUACCACAUCCAAGGAAGGCAGCAGGCGCGCAAAUUACCCAAUCCCGACACGGGGAGGUAGUGACAAUAAAUACUGAUACGGGGCUCUUUUGGGUCUCGUAAUUGGAAUGAGUACAAUCUAAAUCCCUUCACGAGGAACAAUUGGAGGGCAAGUCUGGUGCCAGCAGCCGCGGUAAUUCCAGCUCCAAUAGCGUAUAUUAAAGUUGUUGCAGUUAAAAAGCUCGUAGUUGAACCUUGGGUCUGGCUGACCGGUCCGCCUCACCGCGAGUACUGGUCCGGCUGGACCUUUCCUUCUGGGGAACCCCAUGGCCUUCACUGGCCGUGGGUGGGAACCAGGACUUUUACUGUGAAAAAAUUAGAGUGUUCAAAGCAGGCCUUUGCUCGAAUACAUUAGCAUGGAAUAAUAGAAUAGGACGUGCGGUUCUAUUUUGUUGGUUUCUAGGACCGCCGUAAUGAUUAAUAGGGAUAGUCGGGGGCGUCAGUAUUCAGCUGUCAGAGGUGAAAUUCUUGGAUUUGCUGAAGACUAACUACUGCGAAAGCAUUCGCCAAGGAUGUUUUCAUUAAUCAGGGAACGAAAGUUAGGGGAUCGAAGACGAUCAGAUACCGUCGUAGUCUUAACCAUAAACUAUGCCGACUAGGGAUCGGGCGGUGUUUCUAUUAUGACCCGCUCGGCACCUUACGAGAAAUCAAAGUUUUUGGGUUCUGGGG